GCCGAUGUGGUGGAAUUGGUAGACACGUGCGCUUGAGGGGCGUAUGGAGCAAUCCGUGGGAGUUCGAGUCUCCCCAUCGGCA
This 82-nucleotide transfer RNA is filed under the name Nitrospina sp. RNAcentral describes it as "tRNA-Leu". It matches the Rfam family "tRNA". Rfam says of the family: Transfer RNA (tRNA) molecules are approximately 80 nucleotides in length. RNAcentral also lists the same sequence under 1 other name. The record is from RNAcentral. Lineage: Bacteria; Pseudomonadati; Nitrospinota; Nitrospinia; Nitrospinales; Nitrospinaceae.